AUGUGCGUCCCGAAGGAGAAGGGUGGUAUGGGCUUCCGGGACUUGCAUUGCUUUAAUUUGGCUCUUUUGGCAAAACAGUGUUGGAGGCUUUUGUGUGAACCGGAAUCAUUAUGUGCCAGAGUAUCGAAAGCAAAGUAUUUCCCCAAUGGUGACCUUCUGAACUGUACGUUGAAGAAGGGUAGUUCAUAUACCUGGCAGAGUCUCUGGAGUGGAAUUUAG
This 219-nucleotide ribosomal RNA is filed under the name Triticum aestivum (bread wheat). Its description in RNAcentral is "partial small subunit ribosomal RNA". Lineage: Eukaryota; Viridiplantae; Streptophyta; Magnoliopsida; Poales; Poaceae. The record is from RNAcentral.